This 24-nucleotide non-coding RNA is filed under the name Arabidopsis thaliana (thale cress). The record is from RNAcentral. Lineage: Eukaryota; Viridiplantae; Streptophyta; Magnoliopsida; Brassicales; Brassicaceae.
UACGAAUUAGACUGAGAUUUCAAU